AAUUGAACGCUGGCGGCAGGCCUAACACAUGCAAGUCGAGCGGAAACGAGUUAACUGACCCUUCGGGUGACGUUAACGGCGUCGAGCGGCGGACGGGUGAGUAAUGCCUGGGAAAUUGCCCUGAUGUGGGGGAUAACCAUUGGAAACGAUGGCUAAUACCGCAUAAUGCCUUCGGGCCAAAGAGGGGGACCUUCGGGCCUCUCGCGUCAGGAUAUGCCCAGGUGGGAUUAGCUAGUUGGUGAGGUAAUGGCUCACCAAGGCGACGAUCCCUAGCUGGUCUGAGAGGAUGAUCAGCCACACUGGAACUGAGACACGGUCCAGACUCCUACGGGAGGCAGCAGUGGGGAAUAUUGCACAAUGGGCGCAAGCCUGAUGCAGCCAUGCCGCGUGUGUGAAGAAGGCCUUCGGGUUGUAAAGCACUUUCAGCAGUGAGGAAGGCGGGUACGUUAAUAGCGUGCUCGUUUGACGUUAGCUGCAGAAGAAGCACCGGCUAACUCCGU
Molecule: ribosomal RNA, 500 nt
Filed under: uncultured Vibrio sp.
Lineage: Bacteria; Pseudomonadati; Pseudomonadota; Gammaproteobacteria; Vibrionales; Vibrionaceae
Description: bacterial SSU rRNA
Rfam family: Bacterial small subunit ribosomal RNA
Source: RNAcentral